This 476-nucleotide ribosomal RNA is filed under the name Clavispora sp. RNAcentral describes it as "partial large subunit ribosomal RNA". It matches the Rfam family "Eukaryotic large subunit ribosomal RNA", at positions 84 to 628 of the family's 3401-position model. Lineage: Eukaryota; Fungi; Ascomycota; Pichiomycetes; Serinales; Metschnikowiaceae. The record is from RNAcentral.
UAACGGCGAGUGAAGCGGCAAAAGCUCAAAUUUGAAAUCCUGCGGGAAUUGUAAUUUGAAGGUUUCGUGGUCUGAGUCGGCCGCGCCCAAGUCCAUUGGAACAUGGCGCCUGGGAGGGUGAGAGCCCCGUAUGGCGCACGCCGACUCUUUGCACCGCGGCUCCGACGAGUCGAGUUGUUUGGGAAUGCAGCUCUAAGUGGGUGGUAAAUUCCAUCUAAAGCUAAAUAUUGGCGAGAGACCGAUAGCGAACAAGUACAGUGAUGGAAAGAUGAAAAGCACUUUGAAAAGAGAGUGAAACAGCACGUGAAAUUGUUGAAAGGGAAGGGCUUGCAAGCAGACACGGUUUUACCGGGCCAGCGUCGAAAAGGGGGGAGGAACAAGAACUCGAGAAUGUGGCGCGCACCUUCGGGGCGCGCGUGUUAUAGCUCGUGUUGACGCCUCCAUCCCUUUUCGAGGCCUGCGAUUCUAGGACGCUG